GACGAACGCUGGCGGCGUGCUUAACACAUGCAAGUCGAACGGAAAGGCCCUGCUUUUGUGGGGUGCUCGAGUGGCGAACGGGUGAGUAACACGUGAGUAACCUGCCCUUGACUUUGGGAUAACUUCAGGAAACUGGGGCUAAUACCGGAUAGGAGCUCCUGCUGCAUGGUGGGGGUUGGAAAGUUUCGGCGGUUGGGGAUGGACUCGCGGCUUAUCAGCUUGUUGGUGGGGUAGUGGCUUACCAAGGCUUUGACGGGUAGCCGGCCUGAGAGGGUGACCGGCCCCAUUGGGACUGGGAUACGGCCCAGACUCCUACGGGAGGCAGCGGUGGGGAAUAUUGCACAAGGGGCGGAAGCCUGAUGCAGCAACGCCGCGUGCGGGAUGACGGCCUUCGGGUUGUAAACCGCUUUCGCCUGUGACGAAGCGUGAGUGACGGUAAUGGGAAAAGAAGCACCGGCUAACUACGU
This 467-nucleotide ribosomal RNA is filed under the name uncultured bacterium. RNAcentral describes it as "partial 16S ribosomal RNA". It matches the Rfam family "Bacterial small subunit ribosomal RNA", at positions 28 to 506 of the family's 1533-position model. The record is from RNAcentral.